RNAcentral lists this ribosomal RNA (434 nucleotides) under uncultured Lachnospiraceae bacterium. RNAcentral describes it as "partial 16S ribosomal RNA". It matches the Rfam family "Bacterial small subunit ribosomal RNA", at positions 341 to 792 of the family's 1533-position model. The record is from RNAcentral. Lineage: Bacteria; Bacillati; Bacillota; Clostridia; Lachnospirales; Lachnospiraceae.
ACGGGAGGCAGCAGUGGGGAGUAUUGCACAAUGGGGGAAACCCUGAUGCAGCGACGCCGCGUGAGUGAAGAAGUAUUUCGGUAUGUAAAGCUCUAUCAGUAGGGAAGAAAAUGACGGUACCUAACUAAGAAGCCCCGGCUAACUACGUGCCAGCAGCCGCGGUAAUACGCAGGGGGCAAGCGUUAUCCGGAUUUACUGGGUGUAAAGGGAGCGUAGACGGUACGGCAAGUCUGAAGUGAAAUGUCGGGGCUCAACCCCGGAACUGCUUUGGAAACUGUCGAACUAGAGUGCAGGAGAGGUAAGUGGAAUUCCUAGUGUAGCGGUGAAAUGCGUAGAUAUUAGGAGGAACACCGGUGGCGAAGGCGGCUUACUGGACUGUAACUGACGUUGAGGCUCGAAAGCGUGGGGAGCAAACAGGAUUAGAUACCCUGGUA